RNAcentral lists this ribosomal RNA (313 nucleotides) under uncultured bacterium. RNAcentral's name for it is "bacterial SSU rRNA". It matches the Rfam family "Bacterial small subunit ribosomal RNA", at positions 29 to 333 of the family's 1533-position model. The record is from RNAcentral.
AAUGAACGCUGGCGGCGCGCCUAAUACAUGCAAGUCGAGCGAGAAGACGUAGCAAUACGUUUGUAAAGCGGCGAACGGGUGAGGAAUACAUGGGUAACCUACCCUAGAGUGGGGAAUAACUAGCCGAAAGGUUAGCUAAUACCGCGUACGCUCCUUGGACUUCGGUUCAGGGAGGAAAGCGAUGCCGAGGGUAUCGCGCUCUUGGAUGGGCUCAUGUCCUAUCAGCUUGUUGGGAGGUAACGGCUCACCAAGGCUUCGACGGGUAGCUGGUCUGAGAGGACGAUCAGCCACACUGGCACUGCGACACGGGCCA